UCUAAGGGUUACUGCCAAGUGGGCCA
Molecule: non-coding RNA, 26 nt
Filed under: Homo sapiens (human)
Lineage: Eukaryota; Metazoa; Chordata; Mammalia; Primates; Hominidae
Source: RNAcentral